GAUGAAGAACGCAGCGAAAUGCGAUAAGUAAUGUGAAUUGCAGAAUUCAGUGAAUCAUCGAAUCUUUGAACGCACAUUGCGCCCGCCAGUAUUCUGGCGGGCAUGCCUGUUCGAGCGUCAUUACAACCCUCAGGCCCCCGGGCCUGGCGUUGGGGAUCGGCGGAGCCCCCCGUGGGCACACGCCGUCCCCCAAAUGCAGUGGCGGUCCCGCCGCAGCUUCCAUCGCGUAGUAGCUAACACCACGCGACUGGAGAGCGGCGCGGCCACGCCGUAAAACACCCAACUCUUCUGAAGUUGACCUCGAAUCAGGUAGGAAUACCCGCUGAACUUAAGCAUAUCAAUAAGCGGAGGA
RNAcentral lists this unclassified non-coding RNA (352 nucleotides) under soil metagenome. Its description in RNAcentral is "partial contains 5.8S ribosomal RNA, internal transcribed spacer 2, and large subunit ribosomal RNA". The stretch from base 1 to 120 matches the Rfam family "5.8S ribosomal RNA", at positions 35 to 154 of the family's 154-position model. The record is from RNAcentral.